GGACUACAGGGGUAUCUAAUCCCGUUUGCUCCCCUGGCUUUCGCGCUGUCAGCGUCAGUGUCGGCCCAGCAACCCGUCUUCACCUCAGGUGUUCCUCUUGAUAUCUACGCAUUUCACCGCUACACCAAGAAUUCCGAUUGCCCCUUCCGCACUCAAGCAGAUCAGUAUCAGCUGACAGUUCCGAGUUAAGCUCGGAGAUUUCACAGCUGACUUAAUUUGCCGCCUACGCGCCCUUUACGCCCAGUAAAUCCGAACAACGCUUGCUCCCUACGUAUUACCGCGGCUGCUGGCAC
RNAcentral lists this ribosomal RNA (293 nucleotides) under uncultured Acidobacteriota bacterium. Its description in RNAcentral is "uncultured Acidobacteria bacterium partial 16S ribosomal RNA". The record is from RNAcentral. Lineage: Bacteria; Pseudomonadati; Acidobacteriota.